This 253-nucleotide ribosomal RNA is filed under the name uncultured bacterium. RNAcentral's name for it is "partial 16S ribosomal RNA". It matches the Rfam family "Bacterial small subunit ribosomal RNA", at positions 524 to 776 of the family's 1533-position model. The record is from RNAcentral.
UACGUAGGUGGCAAGCGUUGUUCGGAAUUAUUGGGCGUAAAGGGCGCGUAGGCGGUUUGUUAAGUCAGCUGUGAAAGCCCGGGGCUCAACCCCGGAGGGUCAGCUGAUACUGGCAGGCUAGAGUACAGAAGAGGUAACUGGAAUUCCCGGUGUAGCGGUGAAAUGCGUAGAUAUCGGGAGGAAUACCGAUGGCGAAGGCAGGUCUCUGGGCUAACACUGACGCUCAUGCACGAAAGCGUGGGGAGCAAACAGG